RNAcentral lists this ribosomal RNA (391 nucleotides) under uncultured bacterium. Its description in RNAcentral is "bacterial SSU rRNA". It matches the Rfam family "Bacterial small subunit ribosomal RNA", at positions 30 to 424 of the family's 1533-position model. The record is from RNAcentral.
AUUGAACGCUGGCGGCAUGCCUUACACAUGCAAGUCGAACGGUAACAGGGAGCUUGCUCCGCUGACGAGUGGCGAACGGGUGAGUAAAGUAUCGGAACGUACCUUUCAGUGGGGGAUAACGCAGCGAAAGUUGCGCUAAUACCGCAUAUUCUGUGAGCAGGAAAGCAGGGGAUCGCAAGACCUUGCGCUGAUUGAGCGGCCGAUAUCAGAUUAGCUAGUUGGUGAGGUAAAGGCUCACCAAGGCGACGAUCUGUAGCGGGUCUGAGAGGAUGAUCCGCCACACUGGAACUGAGACACGGUCCAGACUCCUACGGAGGCAGCAGUGGGGAAUUUUGGACAAUGGGCGCAAGCCUGAUCCAGCCAUGCCGCGUGAGUGAAGAAGGCCUCGGUU